AAGGAUCAUUAUCUAUUUGUUGGAUGUGGUCGCGGCCCCCGUAUUCCGGGUGGUAGGGGUAACACCCUCACGCGCCACAUGCACUAAUCCUCUUUUUACGAGCACCUUCUGUUCUCCUUCGGCGGGGCAACCUGUCGUUGGAACCAACAAAACCUUUUGAAUUCAGUAUUACCUGUUCUGAUACAAACAAUCGUAACAACUUUCAACAAUGGAUCUCUUGGCUCUGGCAUCGAUGAAGAACGCAGCGAAAUGCGAUAAGUAGUGUGAAUUGCAGAAUUCAGUGAAUCAUCGAAUCUUUGAACGCACAUUGCGCCCCUCGGUAUUCCGUGGGGCAUGCCUGUUCGAGCGUCAUUUCACCAAUCAAGCCCCGCUUGGUAUUAGGCGUCAGGCCCGCGCUUCGGCCGCGGGCCCGCCCGAAAUGCAUCGGCGAGGACAUCGACCCCCGGCGUGUUGAGAAUUCACGUUCGACGUCGGGAGCACCGGUGCGCCUCCGCCGCGGAAACCUUUCCGGAAAACACAAUUUUCAAAGGUUGACCUCGGAUCAGGUAGGAAUACCCGCUGAACUUAAG
RNAcentral lists this ribosomal RNA (569 nucleotides) under uncultured Elsinoaceae. Its description in RNAcentral is "eukaryotic LSU rRNA". The stretch from base 198 to 351 matches the Rfam family "5.8S ribosomal RNA". Lineage: Eukaryota; Fungi; Ascomycota; Dothideomycetes; Myriangiales. The record is from RNAcentral.